Molecule: ribosomal RNA, 481 nt
Filed under: uncultured bacterium
Lineage: Bacteria
Description: bacterial SSU rRNA
Rfam family: Bacterial small subunit ribosomal RNA
Source: RNAcentral
GAUGAACGCUAGCGGCAGGCUUAACACAUGCAAGUCGAGGGGUAGAAGGAGCUUGCUCCUUUGAGACCGGCGCACGGGUGCGUAACGCGUAUGCAAUCUACCUUUUGCAGAGGGAUAGCCCAGAGAAAUUUGGAUUAAUACCUCAUAGUAUGUGAGGAUGGCAUCAUUUUCACAUUAAAGUCACAACGGCAAAAGAUGAGCAUGCGUCCCAUUAGCUAGUUGGUAAGGUAACGGCUUACCAAGGCUACGAUGGGUAGGGGUCCUGAGAGGGAGAUCCCCCCACACUGGUACUGAGACACGGACCAGACUCCUACGGGAGGCAGCAGUGAGGAAUAUUGGACAAUGGGCGCAAGCCUGAUCCAGCCAUGCCGCGUGCAGGAUGACGGUCCUAUGGAUUGUAAACUGCUUUUGUACAGGAAGAAACACUACUUCGUGAAGUAGCUUGACGGUACUGUAAGAAUAAGGAUCGGCUAACUCCGUG